CGAAGUUAGAGAGCGAGAUUAAACAUGACGCCCCCAUGCUGUCGAUAAUGGAGGCGCGCUGAAACUGUGGCAAGACGAAGUUUCACUAAACUUUACUGGGGUGAACAAAAAUCUUAUAUUUAAAAAAAAUAUUUAAUGCCGGUUUAAGAUAUUUUGAAUAGUAGUCUUUCAGUAGGCAUAAACAUUAGUCAGGCGCUGUCUUUUACUUUAAAUGUCGAUUCCAAGCGUGUUCUAAUGGCUUACUUAACUUCGGGCCCUAUGGUUUUCUUCAACCAUAAAACUCGCCACCGUCACACAAAUGAAACAUUUCUUAGUAAAACCUUCAUCAGGGGAUAAAUAUGUAAGUAAGUAAGACAUUCUCGUUUAUUAUUUAACAGUAUCAGGCCCUGUUGUUGUUUUUGUCGCCUUCUGCCUCGUCCUCACUGGUUCUCUCUGCACUGGCGUUGCUUUGUCCAGUAAAUUGCUUGAAGUCGCAAAUUACUACCGAGCUGCAGGGCUGGCUACAGGGAUACUAGGUAUCUUGGUGCUUCUGUUAGCCGUGCUAUGGCUAUAUUUGCCUCCAAAUCUCCCUUGCAAGAAAAAAGCACCAAUCCAGGAGUCCGAUAGCCCUGAUGUGUUAGAAACAGGAAAGGAUGACGGAAAAAAAUCAGCCGAAUCUGAACGCGCUUUACCUGACGUUGAGGCUAACUUGCCCAGCUCUAGUUUGCCCUCGAGGGAUAUCGAUUCAAAAACUUUGCCAGAACAAACAGUACCUUUUUUGCCACAGAAACCCAUUCAAACAGAGAAACCGGAGCCAAAAGUAAUAAAGGUAGAAAAUCCGUCCAGUAACAAAGUCACUGGGAUGGUGGUUAGGUCGCAAAACGAAGUCUAUAUGACCACCUAUGAGGCAGUCUUUAGUAUGACUGUCCAAACAGGUAUGAUUCAGAAACAAAAAGAAAAGCUAACCGAGUGUAAAUACGAUAUUCUAAUGACUGAGAAACAUAAAACAGGUUUACUAAUGUUGACUGAAGAAGUUACAUCGAAGAUAUAUAAGACUCACCUUUUGUUUAUGAAUUUAGCAAAUAAAAAGUACAAAUUUCACAAGAUUGAUCUGGAUUCAAAAUCAAGACCGACUUGGGUCGUGACGAGUCGGUACGACGAAACUUGGUACUUGACUAUGUCAAACCCGGCAAGAGUACUUAAGAAAACAAGUGACAAGAAGAAGUGGAGAGAAUUCGGCCAAAGUGUGUUGAAGAAACCUGCAUGUAUCGUUCAGAAUUCCUCUGGUCGGCUCAUCAUCGCUGAUUCUCGUAAAAAUGAUUUAUUGGUUUUCGAGGAAAACGGGGAAUUUGUUACUUCCAUGGGAAUAUCUGUUCCCAGGAAUCUGAGUACCGAGAUAAACGGCUGUGACAGAUUGGCCAUAGGUCCAGACGACAAGAUUUAUGCGACAAGUCCACUGUCUAAAAAUAUACUUGUGUUUUCGUCGGACUUCAGAUUUGACCGAACUUUACCUACUAGAUCUGAAGAAGGCGGAGCUAUAUCAUGCUUACUGGUAUAUAACGACUGGCUUUACGUAGCUCACGAGGACUGUAUUCGGGUCCAUCGACUUAAAUCGCGCUCAUCGAUCAGUGACGACUGAUUAUAUACAGAGAUAGAUUCUCGUACCUCAUUCUCGCUCAUCUGAAACAUUUUCCGUCAUCUCAUCCCGGAACCUGUGUGUUUCAUUCGCCUAGCCUAUCAUUAUACUCAAUCAUAUAUCAGGACUUUACAGAAUUAUAUGAUCACCUGUUAAUUGUAUGUUUCAGGUCUUAUCACUGACCCUCCUAUGUAUACAUUGUCGUCCUCCUAUUAUAUUAAGGAGUUUGUCUUUGCAGUAUGUUCUGCAUUGCUUUCUCCUAUUGUCGGCUUUAAUUUUUGGUUACCUUGAAUAAACAAAUGCACCCUGUAUGCAAAAGGCGA
Long non-coding RNA from Liolophura sinensis, 1938 nucleotides. RefSeq lists it as uncharacterized. Lineage: Eukaryota; Metazoa; Mollusca; Polyplacophora; Chitonida; Chitonidae. The record is from RefSeq and is a predicted model, not a curated record. The transcript has 2 exons.